CCUACGGGAGGCAGCAGUGAGGAAUAUUGGUCAAUGGACGAGAGUCUGAACCAGCCAAGUAGCGUGAAGGAUGACUGCCCUAUGGGUUGUAAACUUCUUUUAUAUGGGAAUAAAACGUUCCACGUGUGGGAUUUUGUAUGUACCAUAUGAAUAAGGAACGGCUAACUCCGUGCCAGCAGCCGCGGUAAUCCGGAGGAUCCGAGCGUUAUCAGGAUUUAUUGGGUUAAAAGGGAGCGUAGGUGGAUUGUUAAGUCAGUUGUGAAAGUUUGCGGCUAAACCGUAAAAUUGCAGGUGAAACUGGCAAUCUUGAGUACAGUAGAGGUGGGCGGAAUUCGUGGUGUAGCGGUGAAAUGCUUAGAUAUCACGAAGAACUCCGAUUGCGAAGGCAGUUCACUGGACUGCAACUGACACUGAGGCUCGAAAGUGUAGGUAUCAAACAGGAUUAGAUACCCGUGUAGUC
This 460-nucleotide ribosomal RNA is filed under the name uncultured bacterium. Its description in RNAcentral is "partial 16S ribosomal RNA". It matches the Rfam family "Bacterial small subunit ribosomal RNA", at positions 338 to 795 of the family's 1533-position model. The record is from RNAcentral.